CAUGUAGGCGGAUUAAUAAGUUUGAAAUGAAAUCCUAUAGCUUAACUAUAGAACUGCUUUGAAAACUGUUAAUCUAGAAUGUGGGAGAGGUAGAUGGAAUUUCUGGUGUAGGGGUAAAAUCCGUAGAGAUCAGAAGGAAUACCGAUUGCGAAGGCGAUCUACUGGAACAUUAUUGACGCUGAGAUGCGAAAGCGUGGGGAGCAAACA
Molecule: ribosomal RNA, 207 nt
Filed under: uncultured bacterium
Lineage: Bacteria
Description: partial 16S ribosomal RNA
Rfam family: Bacterial small subunit ribosomal RNA
Source: RNAcentral